GAUGAACGCUAGCUACAGGCUUAACACAUGCAAGUCGAGGGGAAACGAUGAGAGAGCUUGCUCUCUUAGUCGUCGACCGGCGCACGGGUGAGUAACGCGUAUCCAACCUGCCUCUGACCAAGGGAUAACCCGUCGAAAGUCGGACUAAUACCUUAUGCAGUCGUCGGAAGUCAUCUGAUGACGACGAAAGAUUUCAUCGGUGAGAGAUGGGGAUGCGUCUGAUUAGCUUGUUGGCGGGGUAACGGCCCACCAAGGCGACGAUCAGUAGGGGUUCUGAGAGGAAGGUCCCCCACAUUGGAACUGAGACACGGUCCAAACUCCUACGGGAGGCAGCAGUGAGGAAUAUUGGUCAAUGGGCGUAAGCCUGAACCAGCCAAGUAGCGUGCAGGAUGACGGCACUAUGGGUUGUAAACUGCUUUUAUGCGGGGAUAAAGUGAGGGACGUGUCCUUCAUUGCAGGUACCGCAUGAAUAAGGACCGGCUAAUUCCGUG
Molecule: ribosomal RNA, 491 nt
Filed under: uncultured bacterium
Lineage: Bacteria
Description: partial 16S ribosomal RNA
Rfam family: Bacterial small subunit ribosomal RNA
Source: RNAcentral